Molecule: long non-coding RNA, 617 nt
Filed under: Piliocolobus tephrosceles (Ugandan red Colobus)
Lineage: Eukaryota; Metazoa; Chordata; Mammalia; Primates; Cercopithecidae
Description: lncRNA (ENSPTEG00000039838.1)
Source: RNAcentral
AGUUGUUGAUUUACAUGCCCCACCCACAUCUUGCACUUAGCGACUGUGCAGUGUGACUGUAGCUUCAUGAAGAGGCAUCUUCAUUGUUGCUGUUUCUCCUUCAGGUUCUUGUCCCUCAUAAGAAUUGUGGGAAGAAUACUACUGCCCCAGGAAGGAAAGUAGGGGAGGAAGUCUCUGGCUCCUGUGUUUGCUGAGAAGUUAAUAUCACCAAGCAGGAGGGGAGCCAAGCUCAAGGACCAUGAGAGCCACCAGGAGAAUGACGACCGGAACAGUGAAUUGGACCAGGAUGAGGAAGGUAAAGAACCCUUCUGCAGGGAGUUCCUGAACCUAUCAAAGAAACACCUGAUAAACAAAAGAAGGAAAUGGCCAAUCAGAAAGAUUCCCCUGGAGCCAAAAAGCAAAAAUUAGAAGGAGAUUUGGCUAUGUGAAUUUUAAAUCUGCUGAUGAUCAAGAAAAGGCCCUGGAACUAAGUGAUACAAAAGUCCUUGGGUUUGAAAUUAAAUUUAAGAAACCAAAGAGAAAGGAAACAAAGGUAUGCAAACAAGGUAAUUUGUUCAAAGAUAUCGAUGUAUCUAGAAGAUUCUGGGUCAGGCAGGAAUAUCACAUUCUUUUUAAUU